This 252-nucleotide ribosomal RNA is filed under the name uncultured bacterium. RNAcentral's name for it is "partial 16S ribosomal RNA". It matches the Rfam family "Bacterial small subunit ribosomal RNA", at positions 524 to 776 of the family's 1533-position model. The record is from RNAcentral.
GACAGAGGUCCCGAGCGUUAGGCGGAAUCACUGGGCUUAAAGCGUGUGUAGGCGGACUUCUAAGUACCUUGUGAAAUCCCACGGCUUAACCGUGGAACUGCUGGGCAUACUGCGGGUCUUGGGCCAACUAGGGGCAGCCGGAACAAGCGGUGGAGCGGUGAAAUGCGUAGAUAUCAUUUGGAACGCCGAUGGUGAAAACAGGUAGCUGGGGCUGUACUGACACUGAGACACGAAAGCCAGGGAGCAAACGGG